RNAcentral lists this ribosomal RNA (253 nucleotides) under uncultured prokaryote. RNAcentral's name for it is "partial 16S ribosomal RNA". It matches the Rfam family "Bacterial small subunit ribosomal RNA", at positions 525 to 777 of the family's 1533-position model. The record is from RNAcentral.
ACAGAGGGUGCGAGCGUUAAUCGGAAUUACUGGGCGUAAAGCGCGCGUAGGCGGCUUUGCAAGUCGGGUGUGAAAUCCCCAGGCUUAACCUGGGAACUGCAUUCGAGACUGCAUUGCUAGAGUAUGGGAGAGGGAAGUGGAAUUUCCGGUGUAGCGGUGAAAUGCGUAGAUAUGCGGAGGAACACCGAUGGCGAAGGCAAUCCCCUGGGCCUGCACUGACGCUCAUGCACGAAAGCGUGGGGAGCAAACAGGA